AGUGAACGCUGGCGGUAGGCCUAACACAUGCAAGUCGAACGGCAGCACAGGAGAGCUUGCUCUCUGGGUGGCGAGUGGCGGACGGGUGAGGAAUACAUCGGAAUCUACUUUUUCGUGGGGGAUAACGUAGGGAAACUUACGCUAAUACCGCAUACGACCUACGGGUGAAAGCAGGGGACCUUCGGGCCUUGCGCGAUUGAAUGAGCCGAUGUCGGAUUAGCUAGUUGGCGGGGUAAAGGCCCUCCAAGGCGACGAUCCGUAGCUGGUCUGAGAGGAUGAUCAGCCACACUGGAACUGAGACACGGUCCAGACUCCUACGGGAGGCAGCAGUGGGGAAUAUUGGACAAUGGGCGCAAGCCUGAUCCAGCCAUACCGCGUGGGUGAAGAAGGCCUUCGGGUCGUAAAGCCCUUUUGUUGGGAAAGAAAUCCAGCUGGCUAAUACCCGGUUGGGAUGACGGUACCCAAAGAAUAAGCACCGGCUAACUUCGUGCCAGCCGCCGCAGUAA
Molecule: ribosomal RNA, 506 nt
Filed under: uncultured bacterium
Lineage: Bacteria
Description: partial 16S ribosomal RNA
Rfam family: Bacterial small subunit ribosomal RNA
Source: RNAcentral